UUUGUUUAAAUGUCAAGCUGGGUUGUAACUUGUCUCGUUUUCUGUCUUUAUUUCUUUAGCUCGUCCAUCUCCACAGCAGUGGGCAGAGCUGCUCCGCUUAAUUAGUCAAGACAAAGAGCUGCUGCAUGGUCAAUUCUUGGGACCAAAUGGUCUUGUCCGAACCCGUCAGAAGUGGGCUGCGAUAGCUGACAAAGUCAACACUGUGGCCGGCGCCACUGUUCAAAAGGAUGGUGACCAGUGGAAGUUGGCUUGGAUGGGUGUAAAAACCCGUGCUCGUGCUAGCCUGAGAUCCAUGGCUGCGUACAGGAAUGGGACAGGUGGCGGCCCAGAUGUUGAAAUUGCAGGGCUCGGCCUUAGUGAGCUCCAUGAGAAGGUGCUGAAUCUUACAGGAAUCACAGCUGCGAUUGGCACCAGCUGUCCUGAUCCCUUACAGGUUUGUUUCUGUUAUAGAUUCAUAAAAUUUUUCGUAAUAUUUUCUAUAUUCCUUAUCAGUGUAAAUCUUUACAGAUUCAAUUACAGGUGGCACGUGCCCCUCCAAAUCAAUUGGUUGACCAGCAGAUUUACAUCAGCGACCUUGAGCAGGACAAAAGUGUUGAGGCGGAGAUAGAAAUUCCGGAUGCUGACGAAUUGCUGAAUAUGUUUGUAUUGCAUGAGGGGCAAGUGGGCAAUCCGCAGGUACAGUACUGUGUGCUGUCAUUCUAGCAUUAACUGCUCAAAAUAUGACAGCUACUUUGUCCUUCCUUCACGCAACUAUAUUUUCCUUUUUCUAUUUCAGGUUUCU
Molecule: long non-coding RNA, 781 nt
Organism: Frankliniella occidentalis (western flower thrips)
Lineage: Eukaryota; Metazoa; Arthropoda; Insecta; Thysanoptera; Thripidae
Exons: 3
Source: RefSeq, a predicted model, not a curated record